AGAGCGAACGCUGGCGGCAGGCUUAACACAUGCAAGUCGAGCGGGCGUAGCAAUACGUCAGCGGCAGACGGGUGAGUAACGCGUGGGAACGUACCUUUUGGUUCGGAACAACACAGGGAAACUUGUGCUAAUACCGGAUAAGCCCUUACGGGGAAAGAUUUAUCGCCGAAAGAUCGGCCCGCGUCUGAUUAGCUAGUUGGUGAGGUAACGGCUCACCAAGGCGACGAUCAGUAGCUGGUCUGAGAGGAUGAUCAGCCACAUUGGGACUGAGACACGGCCCAAACUCCUACGGGAGGCAGCAGUGGGGAAUAUUGGACAAUGGGCGCAAGCCUGAUCCAGCCAUGCCGCGUGAGUGAUGAAGGCCCUAGGUUGUAAAGCUCUUUUGUGCGGGAAGAUAAUGACGGUACCGCAAGAAUAAGCCCCGGCUAACUUCGCGCCAGCAGCCGC
Molecule: ribosomal RNA, 447 nt
Filed under: uncultured bacterium
Lineage: Bacteria
Description: SSU rRNA
Rfam family: Bacterial small subunit ribosomal RNA
Source: RNAcentral